UUCGGAGCGUAAACUCCUUUUGUUAGGGAAGAACAAUGACGGUACCUAACGAAUAAGCACCGGCUAACUCCGUGCCAGCAGCCGCGGUAAUACGGAGGGUGCAAGCGUUACUCGGAAUCACUGGGCGUAAAGGACGCGUAGGCGGAUUAUCAAGUCUUUUGUGAAAUCUAAUGGCUCAACCAUUAAACUGCUUGAGAAACUGAUAAUCUAGAGUGAGGGAGAGGCAGAUGGAAUUGGUGGUGUAGGGGUAAAAUCCGUAGAGAUCACCAGGAAUACCCAUUGCGAAGGCGAUCUGCUGGAACUUAACUGACGCUAAUGCGUGAAAGCGUGGGGAGCAAACAGGAUUAGAUACCCUGGUAGUCCACGCCCUAAACGAUGUAUACUAGUUGUUGCUGUGCUAGUCAUGGCAGUAAUGCACCUAACGGAUUAAGUAUACCGCCUGGGGAGUACGGUCGCAAGAUUAAAACUCAAAGGAAUAGACGGGGACCCGCACAAGCGGUGGAGCAUGUGGUUUAAUUCGAAGAUACGCGAAGAACCUUACCUGGGCUUGAUAUCCUAAGAACCUUGUAGAGAUACGAGGGUGCUAGCUUGCUAGAACUUAGUGACAGGUGCUGCACGGCUGUCGUCAGCUCGUGUCGUGAGAUGUUCGGUUAAGUCCGGCAACGAGCGCAACCCACGUAUUUAGUUGCUAACAGUUCGGCUGAGCACUCUAAAUAUACUGCCUUCGUAAGGAGGAGGAAGGUGUGGACGACGUCAAGUCAUCAUGGCCCUUAUGCCCAGGGCGACACA
RNAcentral lists this ribosomal RNA (789 nucleotides) under uncultured Campylobacter sp. RNAcentral describes it as "bacterial SSU rRNA". It matches the Rfam family "Bacterial small subunit ribosomal RNA", at positions 417 to 1220 of the family's 1533-position model. Lineage: Bacteria; Pseudomonadati; Campylobacterota; Epsilonproteobacteria; Campylobacterales; Campylobacteraceae. The record is from RNAcentral.